ACGAACAACAUGUCAUUCGGAUG
Molecule: non-coding RNA, 23 nt
Filed under: Arabidopsis thaliana (thale cress)
Lineage: Eukaryota; Viridiplantae; Streptophyta; Magnoliopsida; Brassicales; Brassicaceae
Source: RNAcentral